CUGACGGAGCAACGCCGCGUGAGGGACGAAGGCCUCUGGGCUGUAAACCUCUUUUCUCAAGGAAGAAGACAUGACGGUACUUGAGGAAUAAGCCACGGCUAAUUCCGUGCCAGCAGCCGCGGUA
Molecule: ribosomal RNA, 124 nt
Filed under: uncultured bacterium
Lineage: Bacteria
Description: partial 16S ribosomal RNA
Rfam family: Bacterial small subunit ribosomal RNA
Source: RNAcentral